CCUACGGGAGGCAGCAGUGAGGAAUAUUGGUCAAUGGGCGCGAGCCUGAACCAGCCAAGUCGCGUGAAGGAUGAAUGUCCUACGGGUUGUAAACUUCUUUUAUAAAGGAAUAAAGUGAGGCUCGUGUGCCUUUUUGUAUGUACUUUAUGAAUAAGGAUCGGCUAACUCCGUGCCAGCAGCCGCGGUAAUACGGAGGGUGCGAGCGUUAAUCGGAAUUACUGGGCGUAAAGGGCUCGUAGGCGGUAUGUCAAGUCAAGGGUGAAAUCCCCGCGCUCAACGUGGGAACUGCCUUUGAAACUGGCAGACUGGAGAGUGUGAGAGGAAAGUGGAAUUCGAGGUGUAGGAGUGAAAUGCGUAGAUAUCGGGAGGAACAUCAGUGGCGAAGGCGACUAACUGGCAGAGAUCUGACGCUGAGGAGCGAAAGCGUGGGUAGCAAACAGGAUUAGAUACCCGUGUAGUC
RNAcentral lists this ribosomal RNA (460 nucleotides) under uncultured bacterium. RNAcentral describes it as "partial 16S ribosomal RNA". It matches the Rfam family "Bacterial small subunit ribosomal RNA", at positions 338 to 795 of the family's 1533-position model. The record is from RNAcentral.